AUUGGAGAAAAUGAUGUUGCUACCAAACCUCUGGAGAAUAAGCUUUAUGCUAUGGCCUCCGUAAUAGGUGGUGACCCAAUGAGGUCGAGGUGGAACACCAUAGAAAUCCUUGCAGUCUUGGAUGUAGCUGUUGAGAUCGAAAGGGUCAGGCGGGAACAUGGUGUCAUUCCCACGGCCAAUAGGUAUCACCAUCUCACUACAUGUCUGCCAUCUCCACCCAACUCUUGUUUCAGAUACAUUAGUCGGUGGAUUAAUAUAGCAAGAUUUGUUUCCCCUGUAAGCAAAAAGACCAGCAAAUAUUUUG
RNAcentral lists this unclassified non-coding RNA (304 nucleotides) under Hevea brasiliensis (rubber tree). The record is from RNAcentral. Lineage: Eukaryota; Viridiplantae; Streptophyta; Magnoliopsida; Malpighiales; Euphorbiaceae.